This 95-nucleotide small RNA is filed under the name Flavobacterium segetis. Its description in RNAcentral is "Flavo-1 RNA". It matches the Rfam family "Flavo-1 RNA". Lineage: Bacteria; Pseudomonadati; Bacteroidota; Flavobacteriia; Flavobacteriales; Flavobacteriaceae. The record is from RNAcentral.
GUUUUGCGUGAGGGAGUGAAGUGGAAAUCCUUUUUUAUUUUAUGUUGCGUAGCAGAAUAAAAUUAAAAAGAUUGUAACGAAAAGCCCGACCCGAA